RNAcentral lists this ribosomal RNA (253 nucleotides) under uncultured bacterium. Its description in RNAcentral is "partial 16S ribosomal RNA". It matches the Rfam family "Bacterial small subunit ribosomal RNA", at positions 524 to 776 of the family's 1533-position model. The record is from RNAcentral.
UACGUAGGUGGCAAGCGUUGUCCGGAAUUAUUGGGCGUAAAGAGCUCGUAGGCGGUCUGUCGCGUCUGCUGUGAAAAUCCAGGGCUCAACCCUGGACCUGCAGUGGGUACGGGCAGACUAGAGUGCGGUAGGGGAGAUCGGAAUUCCUGGUGUAGCGGUGAAAUGCGCAGAUAUCAGGAGGAACACCGGUGGCGAAGGCGGAUCUCUGGGCCGUAACUGACGCUGAGGAGCGAAAGCAUGGGGAGCGAACAGG